UGCGGGAUCGUCUAAUGGUAGGACACCGCCCUUUGAAGGCGGUCAUCUUGGUUCGAAUCCAGGUCCCGCAGCCU
Molecule: transfer RNA, 74 nt
Filed under: Candidatus Nealsonbacteria bacterium CG_4_8_14_3_um_filter_39_7
Lineage: Bacteria; Candidatus Nealsoniibacteriota
Also listed under: 2 other names
Description: tRNA-Gln
Rfam family: tRNA
About the family: Transfer RNA (tRNA) molecules are approximately 80 nucleotides in length. Their secondary structure includes four short double-helical elements and three loops (D, anti-codon, and T loops).
Source: RNAcentral